AAAAAACGUUGAUGGGCUUUUAAACGUUGGUUAUUUUUUAAAUUGAGGAAAGCUUAAAUUCCUCAGACAGGGGACCGUUGCCUUUGUUUCUUCCCCUUAAUUCCUCAGCAAUUGCCCAUCACUAUCAAAGAAAUUAUUUCAUAUGGAAAUUUUAUGUGAAUUCCAAGAGAAAAAGGAACGGAAAAAAAAUGACAGGUGGCAUUAAAUGGAGGUUGCAUGUUGGUUGUUUGAUCAAAUGCGCAAGAGAAAUCUAGGGGAGUUCGUUGACUUCAUGAUGGCUCAAAAUUUAAUUGUUUGAGGUUGCAUAUUGCCUGUUUUUUCCCCCUUCCGAUAUAUCGGGAUUGGUUAAGCCAGAUGUGGGAUCCGGAAGCCCAUUCUGCACUGCAAAGAACAUCUUGCAACUUGAAGAUCUUGUUGCAAUGUCCACACACAUGAUACACAAUCCUAGAAUGCAUCAAUGAUCGAUAGAUGGCUAAUUUCUCGAUGAACUGCAGUUCCAAUCAUGUGCUUUUAUGAAGAAUCCUUCUGUUGUGGCUGACUAUUUUGGACCUUACUGACAGAAUAUGUAACGCAAUACAUCUACCGAACACUUGGAUACUCCAGUACUUGAUAGAAGAGCAUGUAACAAAGGGAUCUUCGGACAAGCCACAACCUCCUACCAAUGCUUCCAAACUGUCACUGAAAUGCAACAACACAUAUUUGAUUUAUGAAUCAUUUAAUGUGUAAUUCGAGAAGUUUAUUUGUGUUGUGAUGUGAUUGAAGGAUGUAGCAACGGAUUAUACUGAGAAGAUUGAAGGCUCUGGAGAAAAUUGAAAACUUUGAGAUGAAUGUAAUGAUCAUUACUUUUUU
Molecule: long non-coding RNA, 849 nt
Organism: Asparagus officinalis (garden asparagus)
Lineage: Eukaryota; Viridiplantae; Streptophyta; Magnoliopsida; Asparagales; Asparagaceae
Exons: 5
Source: RefSeq, a predicted model, not a curated record